RNAcentral lists this ribosomal RNA (497 nucleotides) under uncultured bacterium. Its description in RNAcentral is "partial 16S ribosomal RNA". It matches the Rfam family "Bacterial small subunit ribosomal RNA", at positions 28 to 507 of the family's 1533-position model. The record is from RNAcentral.
GAUGAACGCUGGCGGCGUGCCUAAUACAUGCAAGUCGAGCGAACAGACGAGAAGCUUGCUUCUCUGAUGUUAGCGGCGGACGGGUGAGUAACACGUGGAUAACCUACCUAUAAGACUGGGAUAACUUCGGGAAACCGGAGCUAAUACCGGAUAAUAUUUUGAACCGCAUGGUUCAAUAGUGAAAGACGGUCUUGCUGUCACUUAUAGAUGGAUCCGCGCUGCAUUAGCUAGUUGGUAAGGUAACGGCUUACCAAGGCAACGAUGCGUAGCCGACCUGAGAGGGUGAUCGGCCACACUGGAACUGAGACACGGUCCAGACUCCUACGGGAGGCAGCAGUAGGGAAUCUUCCGCAAUGGGCGAAAGCCUGACGGAGCAACGCCGCGUGAGUGAUGAAGGUCUUCGGAUCGUAAAACUCUGUUAUUAGGGAAGAACAAAUGUGUAAGUAACUGUGCACAUCUUGACGGUACCUAAUCAGAAAGCCACGGCUAACUACGUG